AAGCUGUUGUUUCUGUGGCCCA
Molecule: unclassified non-coding RNA, 22 nt
Filed under: Mus musculus (house mouse)
Lineage: Eukaryota; Metazoa; Chordata; Mammalia; Rodentia; Muridae
Description: oocyte_clustered_small_RNA7847
Source: RNAcentral